UGGAACGGCCAAAACCCCACAACAGGGUC
This 29-nucleotide non-coding RNA is filed under the name Rattus norvegicus (Norway rat). The record is from RNAcentral. Lineage: Eukaryota; Metazoa; Chordata; Mammalia; Rodentia; Muridae.